Molecule: ribosomal RNA, 465 nt
Filed under: uncultured bacterium
Lineage: Bacteria
Description: partial 16S ribosomal RNA
Rfam family: Bacterial small subunit ribosomal RNA
Source: RNAcentral
GAACGCUGGCGGCGUGCUUAACACAUGCAAGUCGAACGGAGAGGCCCUGCUUUUGUGGGGUGCUCGAGUGGCGAACGGGUGAGUAACACGUGAGUAACCUGCCCUUGACUUUGGGAUAACUUCAGGAAACUGGGGCUAAUACCGGAUAGGAGCUCCUGCUGCAUGGUGGGGGUUGGAAAGUUUCGGCGGUUGGGGAUGGACUCGCGGCUUAUCAGCUUGUUGGUGGGGUAGUGGCUUACCAAGGCUUUGACGGGUAGCCGGCCUGAGAGGGUGACCGGCCGCAUUGGGACUGAGAUACGGCCCAGACUCCUACGGGAGGCAGCAGUGGGGAAUAUUGCACAAUGGGCGGAAGCCUGAUGCAGCAACGCCGCGUGCGGGAUGACGGCCUUCGGGUUGUAAACCGCUUUCGCCUGUGACGAAGCGUGAGUGACGGUAAUGGGUAAAGAAGCACCGGCUAACUACGUG